GUCUUUGUGGCGCAUUCGGUCAGUGCAGUCGGCUGUUAACCGAAAGGAUGGUGGUUCAAGUCCACCCAGGGAUG
RNAcentral lists this transfer RNA (74 nucleotides) under Perca fluviatilis (European perch). It matches the Rfam family "tRNA". From Rfam's summary of the family: Transfer RNA (tRNA) molecules are approximately 80 nucleotides in length. The record is from Rfam by way of RNAcentral. Lineage: Eukaryota; Metazoa; Chordata; Actinopteri; Perciformes; Percidae.